GAGCGGGGGAGGUUGCUUCGGUAACUGACCUAGCGGCGGACGGGUGAGUAAUGCUUAGGAAUCUGCCUAUUAGUGGGGGACAACAUUCCGAAAGGGAUGCUAAUACCGCAUACGCCCUACGGGGGAAAGCAGGGGAUCUUCGGACCUUGCGCUAAUAGAUGAGCCUAAGUCGGAUUAGCUAGUUGGUGGGGUAAAGGCCUACCAAGGCGACGAUCUGUAGCGGGUCUGAGAGGAUGAUCCGCCACACUGGGACUGAGACACGGCCCAGACUCCUACGGGAGGCAGCAGUGGGGAAUAUUGGACAAUGGGCGGAAGCCUGAUCCAGCCAUGCCGCGUGUGUGAAGAAGGCCUUUUGGUUGUAAAGCACUUUAAGCGAGGAGGAGGCUCUUAAGGUUAAUACCCUUGAUGAGUGGACGUUACUCGCAGAAUAAGCACCGGCUAACUCUGUGCCAGCAGCCGCGGUAAUACAGAGGGUGCGAGCGUUAAUCGGAUUUACUGGGCGUAAAGCGUGCGUAGGCGGCUGAUUAAGUCGGAUGUGAAAUCCCUGAGCUUAACUUAGGAAUUGCAUUCGAUACUGGUCAGCUAGAGUAUGGGAGAGGAUGGUAGAAUUCCAGGUGUAGCGGUGAAAUGCGUAGAGAUCUGGAGGAAUACCGAUGGCGAAGGCAGCCAUCUGGCCUAAUACUGACGCUGAGGUACGAAAGCAUGGGGAGCAAACAGGAU
Molecule: ribosomal RNA, 720 nt
Filed under: Acinetobacter tandoii
Lineage: Bacteria; Pseudomonadati; Pseudomonadota; Gammaproteobacteria; Moraxellales; Moraxellaceae
Description: bacterial SSU rRNA
Rfam family: Bacterial small subunit ribosomal RNA
Source: RNAcentral